GGAGGUGGAAGAAAAAGAGAUAGGCUCGGUGUGAGGAGCAAUGUGUGGCCAAGAAAGUGGAGAAAGGGCCAUAGGAGGUCCUAGCCUUGUGGUUGCCCCAGAGAUUCCUCAAGAAUGGAGAAGACAGGAUGAAGUCAGUAACAGGAAAGCAGACUAGGCUUAGCAGGGUAUUAGGUGUUCACUGAAUUUGUGUCUGGUCCCAUCCAGCUGAGCUGCCAGCUAGUUACCUAGACUGUUCCUCUCUGGCUAUCCUUGUCCUUCCAAGGGCAGGCCCUGUGACUGACAGUCCACUGAGCAUAUGAGAUGCUCAGCACAUCCUGUUGACUCAUAAGGUGUUGUUCUUUGCUCUUGAUCUGAACACUGAAGGGCUCACCAUUCACUGUGACAGUGAGGAAAAGGCACCGCCCACACCUGGGGGUGUUUCACUGCUGCACUUUCUGCUCCAGCGGAGGCCAGAAAACUGCCCGCUGUGCCUGUGGAGGCACCAUGCCAGGUGGGUACUUAGGCUGUGGCCAUGGACACAAAGGCCACCCAGGUCGUCCCCACUGGUCAUGCUGUGGGAAGUUUACUGAGAAGUCGGAAUGCACCUGGACAGGUGGGCAGAGCACACCAAGGAGCCUACUCAGGACUGUGGCGCUCUGAUGGCCUCUUGGGUAUGGACCCCAGACCUUAAAUAAUUUUCUCAAGAAACUGAUAGAAUUAAAAACAAAGUGCCUUAUCCUA
Molecule: non-coding RNA, 723 nt
Organism: Manis javanica (Malayan pangolin)
Lineage: Eukaryota; Metazoa; Chordata; Mammalia; Pholidota; Manidae
Source: RefSeq, a predicted model, not a curated record